Molecule: ribosomal RNA, 180 nt
Filed under: uncultured Glomeromycotina
Lineage: Eukaryota; Fungi; Glomeromycota
Description: partial small subunit ribosomal RNA
Rfam family: Eukaryotic small subunit ribosomal RNA (bases 91-180)
Source: RNAcentral
GGCCUGGCUGGGUGGUCUUGCUGCAAGGUAAGCACUGCUCUGGUCGGGUCUUUCCUUCUGGGGAACCAGUGUGCUCUUAGUUGAGUGCGCUGGGGAUCCAGGACUUUUACUUUGAAAAAAUUAGAGUGUUUAAAGCAGGCAUAAGCUUGAAUACGUUAGCAUGGAAUAAUAGAAUAGGAC